This 421-nucleotide ribosomal RNA is filed under the name uncultured Methanobacteriales archaeon. RNAcentral describes it as "partial 16S ribosomal RNA". It matches the Rfam family "Archaeal small subunit ribosomal RNA", at positions 330 to 747 of the family's 1478-position model. The record is from RNAcentral. Lineage: Archaea; Methanobacteriati; Methanobacteriota; Methanobacteria; Methanobacteriales.
UCGCAGCAGGCGCGAAAACUCCGCAAUGCGCGAAAGCGUGACGGGGGGACCCCAAGUGCCGCUGGUCUUUUGAUCGGCGGCUUUUCGGGAGUGUAAGAAGCUCCCGGAAUAAGGGCUGGGUAAGUCUGGUGCCAGCCGCCGCGGUAAUACCAGCAGCCCAAGUGGUGGUCGCGAUUAUUGGGCCUAAAGCGCUCGUAGCCGGGUCAGCAAGUCCCUUGUGAAAUCGGGCGGCCCAACCGUUCGGCUUGCAAGGGAUACUGCUGGCCUAGAGGCCGGGAGACGUCUGAGGUACUCCGGGGGUAGCGGUGAAAUGCUCUGAUCCUCGGGGGACCACCAGUGGCGAAGGCGUCAGACGAGAACGGGCCUGACGGUGAGGGGCGAAGGCUAGGGGCGCGAACGGGAUUAGAUACCCGGGUAGUCC